ACACGGCGGCGGGCGCGGAGCUGCUGGAGCGGCGCGGGGAGGCGCGGCGGGAGGCGGUGCAGGGGCCGCGGCCUCGCCCGGCGAGGAGCCCCUCGCAGGGGAUCCCGAUGUCUCCAAGGUAAUAGGUGAUGAAACCACAGUCCUACUGAGGUUAGGAGGCUGCCCACCAAGCGUUUCCACAGGCUGCAAGAAGAGGAAAGCACAGCUUCCAAACAUGAGCCGUGGCAAGCCAAGGUGCUGAGGGCUGAGAAUAAGCACCUCAAGACCAUCUCAACCAUUAAGGCCAAUGGCAGGUGCAAGGAAGAAUUGACAAGGGUGUGAAUCACAGACCUGCAGCAGAAAAAGAAGCAGAGAUGGGGCAUAAAGAGCCAUGUUCAGGAGACCUGGGUCUGUUGUCACCUUCAAGUGAGGGUCAUUCUGACAGCCUAGGUCCCCCACCAAAAGCCCUGUCCCAGAAGGAGGUGAUCAAGCGCAGGUGCCGCUGCGGGCAGUGUGGGAAAGCCUUCUUGCAGCUCUGCCACCUCAAGAAGCAUCACUUUGUCCAUGCUGGCCACAAGCCCUUCCUGUGCACAGAGUGUGGCAAGCACUAUAGUUCAGAGGAGAGCUUCAAAGCCCAUAUGUGUGACCCUUCCAGUUCACCCAGUGUGACAAGGCUUACUGCACCAAACAAGACCUGUGGGCAUCAUCCGGGAAGGGGUGGGCUUCGGAGCACUUGCAGAAGUGGUGGAGGUUGAGAUUAGGAUCUUAUUGUCUCCACCUGCCCUGAUCUUCUUCUGUGCUAAUUAAAAUGGGGUAAAAGAAAAACCAA
Molecule: long non-coding RNA, 808 nt
Organism: Strigops habroptila (Kakapo)
Lineage: Eukaryota; Metazoa; Chordata; Aves; Psittaciformes; Psittacidae
Exons: 2
Source: RefSeq, a predicted model, not a curated record